This 507-nucleotide ribosomal RNA is filed under the name uncultured Glomus. RNAcentral's name for it is "SSU rRNA". It matches the Rfam family "Eukaryotic small subunit ribosomal RNA", at positions 569 to 1078 of the family's 1831-position model. The record is from RNAcentral. Lineage: Eukaryota; Fungi; Glomeromycota; Glomeromycetes; Glomerales; Glomeraceae.
AGCAGCCGCGGUAAUUCCAGCUCCAAUAGCGUAUAUUAAAGUUGCUGCAGUUAAAAAGCUCGUAGUUGAAUUUCGGGACUAAUAUGUCGGUCGUGCCUCGGUACGUACUGGUAUUUUUGGUUUCUCCCUUCUGACGAACCUUGAUGUCAUUAAUUUGGUGUCUUGGGAAAUCAGGACUGUUACUUUGAAAAAAUUAGAGUGUUUAAAGCAGGCUCACGCUUGAAUACAUUAGCAUGGAAUAAUGAAAUAGGACGUUUGAUUCUAUUUUGUUGGUUUCUAGGAUUGACGUAAUGAUUAAUAGGGAUAGUUGGGGGCAUUAGUAUUCAAUUGUCAGAGGUGAAAUUCUUGGAUUUAUUGAAGACUAACUACUGCGAAAGCAUUUGCCAAGGAUGUUUUCAUUAAUCAAGAACGAAAGUUAGGGGAUCGAAGACGAUCAGAUACCGUCGUAGUCUUAACCAUAAACUAUGCCGACUAGGGAUCGGAUGAUGUUAAUUUUUUAAUGACUCA